CCAGCAACUUGGAGGAAUGUAUAGUAAUAGCUAAUUGCAUCAAAAAUAUGAUGCAAGAUCGAUUUAUUGAAUAAAAUUCUGGGUAGAAUUAUGAUUAUGACAUUAUCUACCCAUAUGUCUUGACCAAAUUACGUGCCAGCAGUCGCGGUAAUACGUAGAAGACUAGUGUUAUUCAUCUUUAAUAGGUUUAAAGGGUACCUAGAUGGUAAAUCAAGCCCUAGACGGGACUAAUUUACUAGAGUUACUUAUGAGGGGGUUUUAAAGUACUAAUGGUGUAGAGAUGAAAUUUUGUAAUACCAUUUUUCGAAAGAAAAGUAAUGGCACAGGUAUAGGCGAAAGCAUCCCCUUAUGUGAUAACUGACAUUGAAGGACGAAGGCUUUGAGUCGCGAACAGGAUUAGAUACCCUGGUAGUCAAAGCAGAAAAUAAUGAGUGUCAUAGAUUAGAUAUUAAAGUUUAUUCUAUAAAUGAAAGUGUAAGCACUCCACCUCAAGAGUAAUUUGGCAACAUUGGAACUGAAAUCAUUAGACCGUUUCUGAAACCAGUAGUGAAGUAUGUUGUUUAAUUUGAUAAUCCGCAAAAAACCUUACCACAAUUUGAAUAUUUAUAUCAUUGAUAUAAUUACAAGCGUUGCACGGCUGUCUUCAGUUAAUGUCGUGAGAUUUUGGUUAGAUCCAUUAAAUUAACGCAAGCCCUUACUUUAUUUUAAAAUAAAGUCGUUCCCCACUAGAUUGGAUAAGAUAACAGGGAUUAAGACAAGUCAUCAUGGCCUGAAUAUUGUGGGCUAUAGACGUGCCACAUAAACCUUUACAAAAGGAUGUGAAAUUGUGAAAUUGAGCUAAU
Molecule: ribosomal RNA, 842 nt
Filed under: Psora cerebriformis
Lineage: Eukaryota; Fungi; Ascomycota; Lecanoromycetes; Lecanorales; Psoraceae
Description: SSU rRNA
Rfam family: Bacterial small subunit ribosomal RNA
Source: RNAcentral